GUCUAUGGCCAUACCACCCGGAACGCUCCUGAUGUCAUCUGGUCUCGGAAGCUAAGCGGGGUCGGGCCCGGUUAGUCCUUGGGUGGGAGAAAACCCAUUUUAAUGCUCC
This is a non-coding RNA of Ailuropoda melanoleuca (giant panda), 109 nucleotides long. The record is from Rfam. Lineage: Eukaryota; Metazoa; Chordata; Mammalia; Carnivora; Ursidae.